GAUGAACGCUGGCGGCGUGCCUAAUACAUGCAAGUCGAGCGAACGGACGAGAAGCUUGCUUCUCUGAUGUUAGCGGCGGACGGGUGAGUAACACGUGGAUAACCUACCUAUAAGACUGGGAUAACUUCGGGAAACCGGAGCUAAUACCGGAUAAUAUUUUGAACCGCAUGGUUCAAAAGUAAAAGACGGUCUUGCUGUCACUUAUAGAUGGAUCCGCGCUGCAUUAGCUAGUUGGUAAGGUAACGGCUUACCAAGGCAACGAUGCAUAGCCGACCUGAGAGGGUGAUCGGCCACACUGGAACUGAGACACGGUCCAGACUCCUACGGGAGGCAGCAGUAGGGAAUCUUCCGCAAUGGGCGAAAGCCUGACGGAGCAACGCCGCGUGAGUGAUGAAGGUCUUCGGAUCGUAAAACUCUGUUAUUAGGGAAGAAUAUAUGUGUAAGUAACUGUGCACAUCUUGACGGUACCUAAUCAGAAAGCCACGGCUAACUACGUGCCAGCAGCCGCGGUAAUACGUAGGUGGCAAGCGUUAUCCGGAAUUAUUGGGCGUAAAGCGCGCGUAGGCGGUUUUUUAAGUCUGAUGUGAAAGCCCACGGCUCAACCGUGGAGGGUCAUUGGAAACUGGAAAACUUGAGUGCAGAAGAGGAAAGUGGAAUUCCAUGUGUAGCGGUGAAAUGCGCAGAGAUAUGGAGGAACACCAGUGGCGAAGGCGACUUUCUGGUCUGUAACUGACGCUGAUGUGCGAAAGCGUGGGGAUCAAACAGGAUUAGAUACCCUGGUAGUCCACGCCGUAAACGAUGAGUGCUAAGUGUUAGGGGGUUUCCGCCCCUUAGUGCUGCAGCUAACGCAUUAAGCACUCCGCCUGGGGAGUACGACCGCAAGGUUGAAACUCAAAGGAAUUGACGGGGACCCGCACAAGCGGUGGAGCAUGUGGUUUAAUUCGAAGCAACGCGAAGAACCUUACCAAAUCUUGACAUCCUUUGACAACUCUAGAGAUAGAGCCUUCCCCUUCGGGGGACAAAGUGACAGGUGGUGCAUGGUUGUCGUCAGCUCGUGUCGUGAGAUGUUGGGUUAAGUCCCGCAACGAGCGCAACCCUUAAGCUUAGUUGUCAUCAUUAAGUUGGGCACUCUAAGUUGACUGCCGGUGACAAACCGGAGGAAGGUGGGGAUGACGUCAAAUCAUCAUGCCCCUUAUGAUUUGGGCUACACACGUGCUACAAUGGACAAUACAAAGGGCAGCGAAACCGCGAGGUCAAGCAAAUCCCAUAAAGUUGUUCUCAGUUCGGAUUGUAGUCUGCAACUCGACUACAUGAAGCUGGAAUCGCUAGUAAUCGUAGAUCAGCAUGCUACGGUGAAUACGUUCCCGGGUCU
RNAcentral lists this ribosomal RNA (1372 nucleotides) under uncultured bacterium. RNAcentral describes it as "bacterial SSU rRNA". It matches the Rfam family "Bacterial small subunit ribosomal RNA", at positions 28 to 1381 of the family's 1533-position model. The record is from RNAcentral.